Molecule: transfer RNA, 72 nt
Filed under: Ovis aries (sheep)
Lineage: Eukaryota; Metazoa; Chordata; Mammalia; Artiodactyla; Bovidae
Rfam family: tRNA
About the family: Transfer RNA (tRNA) molecules are approximately 80 nucleotides in length.
Source: Rfam by way of RNAcentral
UCCCUGGAGGUCCAACAGUUAAGACUCUGCACUUGACUGCAGGGGGCGCAGGUUCGACCCCUGGUCAGGGAA